UGGGGAAUUUUGGACAAUAGGGGAAACCCUGAUCCAGCCAUCCCGCGUGUGCGAUGAAGGCCUUCGGGUUGUAAAGCACUUUUGGCAGGAAAGAAACGUCAUGGGUUAAUACCCCGUGAAACUGACGGUACCUGCAGAAUAAGCACCGGCUAACUACGUGCCAGCAGCCGCGGUAAUACGUAGGGUGCAAGCGUUAAUCGGAAUUACUGGGCGUAAAGCGUGCGCAGGCGGUUCGGAAAGAAAGAUGUGAAAUCCCAGAGCUCAACUUUGGAACUGCAUUUUUAACUACCGGGCUAGAGUGUGUCAGGGGGGGGUGGAAUUCCGCGUGUAGCAGUGAAAGGCGUAGAUAUGCGGAGGAACACCGAUGGCGAAGGCAGCCUCCUGGGAUAACACUGACGCUCAUGCACGAAAGCGUGGGGAGCAAACAGG
This 429-nucleotide ribosomal RNA is filed under the name Acidobacteriota bacterium. Its description in RNAcentral is "Acidobacteria bacterium partial 16S ribosomal RNA". It matches the Rfam family "Bacterial small subunit ribosomal RNA", at positions 355 to 776 of the family's 1533-position model. The record is from RNAcentral. Lineage: Bacteria; Pseudomonadati; Acidobacteriota.